GUCUCAAGAUGUGUUCUCCUGCCGGUCCAUGUAGAGUCUGUGGAACACAGCGUCAUAGACGGUGACAACCCCGUUCAUGACAUGGAUCCCGGUGCUGUGUGAUCCACUCUCGAAGAGUCGAGUCGUUUGGGAAUGCAGUUCAAAUUGGGUGGUAAAUUCCAUCUAAAGCUAAAUAUUGGGGAGAGAACCGAUAGCAAACAAGUACCGUGAGGGAAAGAUGAAAAGCACUCUGGAAAGAGAGUUAACAGUAGGUGAAAUUGUUGAAAGGGAAACGAUAAAGUCAGACGUGCGUGAAGCGGUUCAGCUUUAGUUCCAUACGAGUGUACUCCGUAUCUUUGCAGGCCAACAUCGGUUUUGUUAGUCGGAUAACGGUAUGAGAAAUGUGGCACCAUCGGGUGUGUUAGAGGCUCAGACUGAAGACCAUUGAUGGGACCGAGGAACCCAACGCGCCCGGGGCAAGGUUCCGACCUUUUCGCGCUAGCAUGUUGCAAAAUGGCUUUAACGACCCGUCU
Molecule: ribosomal RNA, 512 nt
Filed under: Cystobasidium sp.
Lineage: Eukaryota; Fungi; Basidiomycota; Cystobasidiomycetes; Cystobasidiales; Cystobasidiaceae
Description: eukaryotic LSU rRNA
Rfam family: Eukaryotic large subunit ribosomal RNA
Source: RNAcentral